This 253-nucleotide ribosomal RNA is filed under the name uncultured bacterium. Its description in RNAcentral is "partial 16S ribosomal RNA". It matches the Rfam family "Bacterial small subunit ribosomal RNA", at positions 524 to 776 of the family's 1533-position model. The record is from RNAcentral.
UACAGAGGUCUCAAGCGUUGUUCGGAAUUACUGGGCGUAAAGGGCGCGUAGGCGGCCUUCUAAGUCGAACGUGAAAUCCCCGGGCUCAACCCGGGAACUGCGUCCGAUACUGGGAGGCUUGAAUCCGGGAGAGGGAUGUGGAAUUCCAGGUGUAGCGGUGAAAUGCGUAGAUAUCUGGAGGAACACCGGUGGCGAAGGCGGCAUCCUGGACCGGUAUUGACGCUGAGGCGCGAAAGCCAGGGGAGCAAACGGG